Molecule: long non-coding RNA, 903 nt
Filed under: Homo sapiens (human)
Lineage: Eukaryota; Metazoa; Chordata; Mammalia; Primates; Hominidae
Description: non-protein coding lnc-MCTS1-4:4
Source: RNAcentral
AGUGGUUAUUUUUCCUCAGCUAGAGGGAAGAACAAAGGAAUGGAGCCCAGAUGCACCAGAAUGGGGACCUGGUGGAAGAACUGAAAAAGCUGGGGAUCCGCUCCACCCUUUUAGAUGAAAAAAGAAAUAUGGAUGUGCCCAUAGCACACAUUACUCAGCUUUGAAACUGGCAGAUAAGGCUGUUGCCUUACAGAAGGGCAGAGAAACAUGAAGGAAUCAACCCAAGUCCAUGAGUGACUGAAUGAGUUGAGUAGGCCACCUAUGUGCUCUGGACUGUCAAGUGGAGAGAAACUUGACAAGUGGUAUCCAGGGGUAUGAUCUGCAACAGAGCUGCUCAUCACCGCUCUCUAAUUUUGGGGCCUCGUGUAGGGGAAGAGCUCAUUCGCUUCUCUUGGGAUGUGAGCCAGCUGGGAUAGAUGCUUCACUAAGAGACAUGUGUGCACUUUGUCCUGAUCUGAGCUCACUGUGAAGGGCCUUUGAACUCAUCAAGCAAUUCCAGGAAGUGGAAGAUGAUCAAAGAACACAAGAGAAUCAUGGUUUAAGCUUCUUUUAAAGUCGAGUUUGGAUGUGCUGUGAAGAGGGAGGAGGCAGCUUUCUUGUCCACCGGCAUCACAUAAAGAGAAGAGCUGUGAAUCCCCACAAAGAACCACUUGCACCAUAAGUACCAGGGCAGGGGAGGCGUGGGGCUUGUAACAUUAGAUUAUUGGGCCCUCCUCACACCCUCAAAAUCAGAAUUUGGUGGGGCGGGGGGCUGCGGGAGGACGGUGAGAGUAGGUCCCAGCAGUCAGCAAUUCAAAUAAGCCCCCAGGUGACUCUAAUGUACUGGAAAGUUUGAGGACAACUAAGUUAAAGCAUGGGACUUGGAGAGUUCCAACCCUGCUUCUACUACUUAUCAACUCUGUG